GACAUAGGGUGCAAACGUUGUUCGGAAUUACUGGGCGUAAAGCGCGUGUAGGCGGUUGGGUAAGUCGGAUGUGAAAGCCCCGGGCUCAACCCGGGAAGUGCAUUCGAUACUACUUGGCUAGAGUACUGGAGAGGAUGGUGGAACUCUCGGUGUAGAGGUGAAAUUCGUAGAUAUCGAGAAGAACACCGGCGGCGAAGGCGGCCAUCUGGACAGAUACUGACGCUGAGGUGCGAAAGCGUGGGGAGCAAACAGG
This 253-nucleotide ribosomal RNA is filed under the name uncultured bacterium. Its description in RNAcentral is "partial 16S ribosomal RNA". It matches the Rfam family "Bacterial small subunit ribosomal RNA", at positions 524 to 776 of the family's 1533-position model. The record is from RNAcentral.